UUCUCAGUGGGUUGGGAUCAAAGCUGGGAUCAAAGGUGGACAAAGCGUGAGUGAUGGCAGGUUUAAAUAAUGCUUCAUGCUUAUAUGGACAGUCAACUCACUCCCAUAGGUUAAGCCGGCCACCCUGGGUGGAGUCACUGAUGAUCGUGGAGACUCCGCCCUGCAGCAGCACUGAUUGGACGAUGACGGCCAAGAGACCAGCCAGCAUGAUGCCCACCUGGAACACAUCCGUCCACACCACUGCCUUAAGGCCACCCUGUCAGUAGAGGGUACAGAUGACUCCAGUUGAUAUAACAGCGCCCCAAAGAUCUACACCUGUGACUGUGGAUUAUCGAGAACACUUGUGCUGGUUAUGCCCAGUCUGUAGAAGAUAGGGAGAAAAAUCUCAGAGCUCACAACCACCAUCAGAACGUAAGCAAAGCAGAUGAGUAUGAAGAUGGCG
Molecule: long non-coding RNA, 442 nt
Organism: Triplophysa rosa
Lineage: Eukaryota; Metazoa; Chordata; Actinopteri; Cypriniformes; Nemacheilidae
Exons: 3
Source: RefSeq, a predicted model, not a curated record